GUAUUGAAGUGAAGGCAUGCACAUCGGUUUCUAAUACAAAGUGUAGAUGUACUGAUGGAUUCCGGUGCUCAGGAGAAGAGUGUGAGGAAUGCUACUGUGAUGUAGGCAGUGGCCAGGAGAACAAUGCAUGUCAGCCCUGUCCAGAUGGAUAUUAUACAGACCAACUGAACAUGAAAUGUAAAAAAUGGACCAACUGUUCAGAACUUGGGGUGAAAACAAAUGGGACCAGAACUAGUGAUGUGGUCUGCCAUGAGGCUUCUCGUACCAUUAUACCAGCGAGAACUGCCUCAACAACCAGGGCUACAGCCCCAGCAGUGACUACAGUAGCAGGAUUCUCCAUUGAUACUAUUGUCACAAGAGUAACCACUACACAUAUACCUCCAGGUGAAUCAAAUGUUCCGUUUGUGGGUUUAGUUAUAGUCGGCAUGUUUCUGGUGCUUGCCCCAGUUGUUGCAUUUUCCAGACUGGUCAGGCCUUGCAUUAUCAAUAGGAAUAAACCUGUGACAAAGACUGCACGAGACAACAGCUGCCGGAUCCCAAUUCAGGAGGAAGAUGAGAAAAGCAAUUCUACAAUAGUUAAAAACUAAUCUGCGGAAAAAUAAGACGUCUGGGUUUUUUUUGUUUUGUUUUGUUUUGUUUUGUUUUGAAACCAAAUG
Polyodon spathula (Mississippi paddlefish) is the source of this 656-nucleotide long non-coding RNA. RefSeq lists it as uncharacterized. The transcript has 5 exons. Lineage: Eukaryota; Metazoa; Chordata; Actinopteri; Acipenseriformes; Polyodontidae. The record is from RefSeq and is a predicted model, not a curated record.